This 71-nucleotide transfer RNA is filed under the name Oplurus grandidieri. Its description in RNAcentral is "tRNA-Ser specifying UCN codons". It matches the Rfam family "tRNA". From Rfam's summary of the family: Transfer RNA (tRNA) molecules are approximately 80 nucleotides in length. The record is from RNAcentral. Lineage: Eukaryota; Metazoa; Chordata; Lepidosauria; Squamata.
GAGAAAGAGGCAUUACGGUUAUGCGGUUGGCUUGAAACCAGUUUUAGGGGGUUCAAUUCCUUCCUUUCUUG